RNAcentral lists this ribosomal RNA (497 nucleotides) under uncultured bacterium. RNAcentral's name for it is "partial 16S ribosomal RNA". It matches the Rfam family "Bacterial small subunit ribosomal RNA", at positions 28 to 507 of the family's 1533-position model. The record is from RNAcentral.
GAUGAACGCUGGCGGCGUGCCUAAUACAUGCAAGUCGAGCGAACGGGCGAGAAGCUUGCUUCUCUGAUGUUAGCGGCGGACGGGUGAGUAACACGUGGAUAACCUACCUAUAAGACUGGGAUAACUUCGGGAAACCGGAGCUAAUACCGGAUAAUAUUUUGAACCGCAUGAUUCAAAGGUGAAAGACGGUCUUGCUGUCACUUAUAGGUGGAUCCGCGCUGCAUUAGCUAGUUGGUAAGGUAACGGCUUACCAAGGCAACGAUGCAUAGCCGACCUGAGAGGGUGAUCGGCCACACUGGAACUGAGACACGGUCCAGACUCCUACGGGAGGCAGCAGUAGGGAAUCUUCCGCAAUGGGCGAAAGCCUGACGGAGCAACGCCGAGUGAGUGAUGAAGGUCUUCGGAUCGUAAAACUCUGUUAUUAGGGAAGAACAUAUGUGUAAGUAACUGUGCACAUCUUGACGGUACCUAAUCAGAAAGCCACGGCUAACUACGUG